CCGGGCGCGGCGGGGGAGGGGAAGGGAGCAGAGGCGAAGGGGAAACUCUUUUUCGGAUGAGUCUACCGAGGCGCGCCUGCAUUUUUUUUUUUUUUAGUCGCGCGCCCGGUCGGGUUCGAACCCGGGGUCUUGGAGCGCGUGGGUUACGGUCGCGUUUCUGACGUCGGCUUUGCGACCUGCGGCCGCUCACUUCGUCUCUUCCUAUCUCGGUUUCCACCUUUGUGAAAAUUGAAAUAGCGCUUCGCCCACGUGCGUAAGUAAGUUUGAAGCCCUGAAAAAACCAAGAAGGCUUGAUUACUUACAUUGGCAAUGUUAAUGCAGAUAUCUCUUCUAUAUUUUCUGUCCCUGUGAGUCACAGAACAGUGUAAAACACAUGGCUCAUGUAAAAAUCUUAACCUUCCCUGUCUAAGGGGUAUAUGGCUUCAGAUGUAGUCUAAAGCAGAACUGAACUGAAAAUAUUGCUGUUAUACAGCAGUGUUGUUUGAUUAAUAAAAAGGCCACAAAUGUUGAAAAGGAACUUCUCAAAAUUCAGGAAAAGGGUUAUCUUAAGCUUCUCAAUGUAAUGAGUCCAUAUCUCAUGUACAGCAGAGGUUCCAAUAUGCAUUAUUUGGUUUUUUUUAAAGAGGUCUUGAAGAUUUGCUGUGCUGUAAAACUGUCCAGUACCAAUAUAUACAUAACUUUAUUAGAAAAUUUGAGACCUAGCAAGAACCUGUCAAAUAUUUGUUCCAUGGGAGCAAUUGGCAUGAAUGGUAUCAGGGUGAUGACAGAAAGAAUGGUGAGCUGACCCCCCCGCAUCAAAACAUCCUGUCUAAUGCCUCAUUGCUUCAGUGUUUUUUCUACACGUGCAGCCAAAUUCAUGCUGCUAAGAAAGUGCCAUAAGAUACUGUACUGUUACAGCUCCUUUAAGAUCACCCAAGUUAACUUCAUUAAAAGUUGUCUAGGAAUGCAUUUGUCUGUGGUGAGUUGCUGGUAUAAAGAACCCCUUUCAUAAACAAAAGAGGUGGCUUUCAUAAUGUAAAGUGCUAACUUCAUUUAAGAGCAGAAUAGUACAUUUUCCCUGAAUUAUCUGCAGUCGUUCCUUGCUUUCACCUAAUCAUUCUGAAUGUGGUGGUAUACUGCUCUUAAAGGAACAGCACUUUCUCAACAGGCCCUGUCUAGGAAGUGAGAUGAUUAAUUGGAAUACUUGGAUAGCCUUGAUGCAAAGGAAAAUUUAAUCUUGUUCUUGAUUCAUAUUUAGAAGCAAUUGACAAUGGUGGGAAAUCAUCAGGAACUUUCAAGUUCCCCUGUUAGAUUACAACUCUGCUGCUGAACUAUUUCCCUCAUUAUAUUUGAGUGGUGGAUGUUUUAAUUCACCAAUAGUUCUGUCUAACAUGCUGUUGCCUUGGCUGCAUUGCCUGGGUUAUUGCAAGACAAAAUGCUAGGCCAUUCCUAUUACAGGAUUCAGUCCCUAGUUGCAACUAGAAAACUCAAUUUUGGCCAUCUGUGAAAGAAUAGUAAUUCAAAUUUAGAUUCUUGUUCUUAUCUUCACACAUCCAAUUUAUCUUCAGUGCUGAUAAUUUUACAGAUGAAGUAUGAAAAUUAAUUGUCAAAGAACUGGUUGGCUUCCUUCCUUCCCCCUCCCCCCCCCCUUGGCCCUUCAUGUUUUAAUCAGAACAAUAAGUUAAUCCACCAUGUUGAAUUGUGAGUGUUUAAAAAUAUUCAUCACUUCCUUGUAACUUUUUUUGUGGGGAGGGAGGGAGAGUUGCUUUUUAUUGCCACUAAUGGCUGAUUUCAGGUGUUUGGGAAAGUGAUUGCAAAGUAUUUUAUUCUGUAAGGUAUACGUUUAGGAAGCCUUAAUAUAGGUCCAAAUAUUUGAAAUUCAGCAAUGGUACUUUCAUAGAAGUAGAUAUCCAUCUAUCUUGGUUAGUCCUCCCUAACCACAAUAUAUCAGUAAAAAACAGUAUCCACAUCUGUUAUUUUUGGGUUCUUAUCCUCUGUUGUUGCUAAUCACAAAGUUGUGUUUACGCUAUAUACUGUACCUGUAACAAGUUCUAAAGAGAAUGUCUCCAUAAUGCCAGGGAAGUGAUUACUGGUAUGGGAUAUAAAUUUCAAAUGACUACAUUUUGAGAUCCUAUGAUUGUAACUAAUACCUUGCCCUUCUAUAUCACAUUUCAUUCAAGAAUCUCAAAACACUCUUUGUAUUAACCCUCAUAAAACCUUUGGAAAGUAUUAUCAUGCCUUAUCAGUUUUGGGGGGAAACAGAAGUGUAGAAAAUGAAGAUGUAGGUAUAGAAAUUUUUAACGGAAAGACUUAUUCUGUCUUUUGGAAAUACUUGUGGUCCCCAUCAUUGUGUUAUCCGUGCCUCACAAUCUCUAAUGUAGUUAGGCUUGCUUAUGUUAUUGUGAAAGAGGAAUUACUGUUACUCCCAUUUUACAGAUGAGAACUGAGACAUGUAGAGACUAAGGUGACUUAUUCAAGCUCACAGCAGAAGUCUGUGACAGCUCCCAAGUCUCAGCCUAGUGCCCUAACAACCACUGCUUUUCCUCCCUUUGCACACUUGGAAACUUGAUAGCUAGAUGGGAUCCAAAAGGUCCAGGUAGAUCUGUUUCUAUGAUAACUUAGAAUGGAUUUAGAUAGGUGGAUAGUCUCUGUUGCAUAUUGUUCACUUAAAGGUACAAACCUUUCAGGGAAUAGUAUUAGUGACUGCAUCUCUUUUUUUAACGGAGAAAUAUUUUUUGAAAAGUAUUUCUAGCCUUUGGCCUCAGCAGUUAAAAUUUACCUUACCUACUGAAACGAAUAUUAAUCGCUUUGUUGUAAAAAGUGAUGUUCUGGUUCUUGCGUGAACAGUGUUAAGGCAAGAUUCAGACAAUUCAGUAAUAAUUUUUUAAAUAUGCAGGUGAAGAGAUUCUGCCUAAUUUGUUUAAAUAUUUACAGUUUCUUACUUAAAAUCCAAGUAACAUACUUUAGUUCAGUUUAAUCAUUCUUCUGAGAAUUUAGACAGAUUCCAAAAAAUAAUCUCAAAGUAUAAACACUUUAUUAGAACUCAUAAUAAAUAAUACUUGUUUUUUGGUAUCUUAGGGCCAGAUCCUGGUAGUUCAGAGUAAGCUGUAAUUACACAUAUGAAAGCAGAAUUUGUAUCUUAAUGAUCACUUCCCAAGUGGUGCUUACAUAAAAUUUAUGCUUUUUCCCCUGUUUAUUUUCUGAUGUUUCACUUUCUCAUUCAGAACACUUGGGAACUAAACUAUCCACUUUACAUGCUGGAUUAGGUUUAUAUUCAGCUAAGGGGAAAAGAAACCAAUAAGGGCUGGAGCCUGCAGUCCUUAUGCAAAUAUUGUGCUGUGCCGUCGCAAGAUCAUUGGGUCCGGCCCAAGGGGCAAGAAGUCAGCUGGGGUCAAAGGAUCCCAGCAAGAUAAGCAUCCAAAUAUUUCUUAAGAGUCCAGAGUAGGUGUUUGCACCACCUCUGGCGGGAGUCUAUUCCAGGUUUGGGGGUUCAGACAGUAAAGAAGUUUUUCCUUAUGUCAAUAUUUUGUUACUUACCACAGUUUUCUGGAAGUAACCACAAUCAAACCUGAUAAAUAGUAUUGCAAAGUUCUGUGUUAUUUUUUUUCCCAGUAAAAAGUUUCAGUACAUUUUUUAAGCAGAGGCAAUGUUGGUAUAUGAUCCAUCAUUCCUCUUCUCUCUUUCUCCCCCCCCCCCCCCACCCCUCCAUUUAUCUAAAAUUUCACUUCUUACAAUGCACACCAGGUAUGUUAUCUAUGACAUUCUCUGCCUGAUUCCUGUGAGCAGCAGUUUGCACCAUGUUCUCUUCAGGGAGGAGGACUAUACUCUGUUCCUAAAGCAUGGUGUGAGGUUACAGCUAGGUACUCUGCAUAAUUAUAGCAGUGCUAUUAAGAGUCUGAUGGCGCUUCCAGUUUAACUCCCUGUAUUUCUCAGGGCCUGAGCUGAGACAUACAAAACUUGCCUUGGGCUGAAACUUGGCAUACAAGAUCUCAGUGUGGGUGGGGUUUUUUUUCUUUUAAAGAAAUUGAAAGAAAUCAACUCCAUUUGCAUUUCAAGGCAAACCAAAACAACUUGUAGGCUGACUGUUUCUCAACCCUAACCCACCCUCCUCUGUCCCUUUACCCCCUUCCCACUCUUUACACUAAGUCUGUUUAAACAAUUUGUCUGGAUUGCAGAUUUGGGUACCGUAGAGAAAAUUAAUUCCUGCUUAAUUUUAAUUUAUCAACCUCAUUCUUUGCUAAAUGCAUUUUGGCCCAGUAGUAGUUGUCAUUCAGAGUGAAUAUACUGCAUAUCCGUCUGUCCCACUGUUCACAGCAACAUUUGGGUGUGUACAAUUGUAAGCAUUCUUUUUAAAACGUUUUUAAUAUUUCAAAGCAACUAAGUUACCAUAUGAGAUCCUGGUUUCCUCUGUUUAAAAAUCCCAAAUUCUCUCAUUAAAACCCACCAAAUCUGCUUUUUUCCGUUACUAAAAUGAAACGCCAUUAUAUAUAUAGGUAUCAGUUGAACACAAUGUUUUAUUUGUAUAUUUACAAUUUUAAAGCAGUUUGGAAGCCUCCCAGUGCCUCAAUCAUUAUAAUAAAAUAAAUUCUAAAUGCCUAUA
Alligator mississippiensis (American alligator) is the source of this 4579-nucleotide long non-coding RNA. RefSeq lists it as uncharacterized. The record is from RefSeq and is a predicted model, not a curated record. The transcript has 2 exons. Lineage: Eukaryota; Metazoa; Chordata; Crocodylia; Alligatoridae.